This 198-nucleotide ribosomal RNA is filed under the name uncultured bacterium. RNAcentral's name for it is "partial 16S ribosomal RNA". It matches the Rfam family "Bacterial small subunit ribosomal RNA", at positions 1295 to 1500 of the family's 1533-position model. The record is from RNAcentral.
GGAUCGGAGUCUGCAACCCGACUCCGUGAAGCUGGAUUCGCUAGUAAUCGCGCAUCAGCCAUGGCGCGGUGAAUACGUUCCCGGGCCUUGUACACACCGCCCGUCAAGCCAUGGAAGCCGGGGGCGCUUGAAGUGCGUUGCCGCAAGGCGCGCCCUAGAGCGAAACCGGUGACUGGGGCUAAGUCGUAACAAGGUAAC